GCUGUUGUAGCUCAGCUGGUAGAGCAACUGAUUCGUAAUCAGUAGGUCGGAGGUUCGACUCCUCUCAACAGCACCA
RNAcentral lists this transfer RNA (76 nucleotides) under Nitrosospira sp. RNAcentral describes it as "tRNA-Thr". It matches the Rfam family "tRNA". Rfam says of the family: Transfer RNA (tRNA) molecules are approximately 80 nucleotides in length. Their secondary structure includes four short double-helical elements and three loops (D, anti-codon, and T loops). Further hydrogen bonds mediate the characteristic L-shaped molecular structure. tRNAs have two regions of fundamental functional importance: the anti-codon, which is responsible for specific mRNA codon recognition, and the 3' end, to which the tRNAs corresponding amino acid is attached (by aminoacyl-tRNA synthetases). tRNAs cope with the degeneracy of the genetic code in two manners: having more than one tRNA (with a specific anti-codon) for a particular amino acid; and 'wobble' base-pairing, i.e. permitting non-standard base-pairing at the 3rd anti-codon position. The record is from RNAcentral. Lineage: Bacteria; Pseudomonadati; Pseudomonadota; Betaproteobacteria; Nitrosomonadales; Nitrosomonadaceae. RNAcentral also lists the same sequence under 1 other name.